AACGAACGCUGGCGGCGUGGAUAAGACAUGCAAGUCGGACGAGAUUUCGUCCUGUAGCAAUAUGGGAUGAAGUCUAGUGGCGAACGGGUGCGUAACACGUGGGCAAUCUGCCUUAAAGUGGGGGAUAGCUCGGCGAAAGCCGGAUUAAUACCGCAUGUGAUCAGGGAAGACAUCUUCCUGAAAUCAAAGGUGCCGCAAGGUACCGCUUUUUGAGGAGCCCGCGGCCUAUCAGCUUGUUGGUGAGGUAACGGCUCACCAAGGCGUUGACGGGUAGCUGGUCUGAGAGGACGACCAGUCACACUGGGACUGAGACACGGCCCAGACACCUACGGGUGGCAGCAGUCGAGAAUUUUUCUCAAUGGGGGAAACCCUGAAGGGGCGACGCCGCGUGGAGGAUGAAGGUCUUCGGGUUGUAAACUCCUGUCAUUUGGGAACAAGUCGUACGUAUUAACUGUACGUGCGUUGAUAGUACCAGAAGAGGAAGAGACGGCUAACUCUGUGCCAGCAGCCGCGGUAAUACAGAGGUCUCAAGCGUUGUUCGGAUUCAUUGGGCGUAAAGGGUGCGUAGGCGGCGCGGUAAGUCGGGUGUGAAAUCUC
Molecule: ribosomal RNA, 597 nt
Filed under: uncultured Spartobacteria bacterium
Lineage: Bacteria; Pseudomonadati; Verrucomicrobiota; Spartobacteria
Description: bacterial SSU rRNA
Rfam family: Bacterial small subunit ribosomal RNA
Source: RNAcentral